CAAAGCAUAUUUGUAAAAGCAAUCCCAAAUAUGCUUCAAAUCAUUCCUAAUAUAAGUUCAAGCAACAUAACAAAACAUCACCAGCAAGAUUCAACAAAAUUUGUGCUCAACUACAUAGAACCAAAUUCAGAUUUAAGCACUUAAUAAAAUACUAAUAAAGCACGAGAAACUCAAUUCAUCAGAAUAGGAGUUGGAGCAUCAGACAAUAGCAUUUGCAGCACUUGCAAUUCGAGGCCAUAGAUCAGCACACUCUUUUCCAAUUGGCCCAGUGAUGGCAGAACCUUUCAUUUCACCCUUUGGAUUCACAAUCACUCCAGCAUUAUCUUCAAAGUACAUGUAGACCCCGUCCUUUCGGCGCCACGGCUUGCGCUGCCUCACGAUGACAGCCGGCAUGACCUUCUUACGCAGAUCCGGCUUCCCCUUCUUCACAGUCGCCAUCACCAUGUCCCCAACGCAAGCCGAAGGGAGGCGAUUGAGCCGGCCCUUGAUCCCCUUCACCGAGAUGAUGUACAGGUUCUUCGCCCCGGUGUUGUCGGCGCAGUUCACCGUCGCCGCAACCGGCAGACCUAGCGACAUACGGAACUUGUUCCCCGCCGAUCCUCCACGCCCUCGCUUCGACAUGAUGGAAGCUCCGAU
Molecule: unclassified non-coding RNA, 636 nt
Filed under: Hevea brasiliensis (rubber tree)
Lineage: Eukaryota; Viridiplantae; Streptophyta; Magnoliopsida; Malpighiales; Euphorbiaceae
Source: RNAcentral